AUGUCUGGGAGUCUGAGAAGACCUUCCCAGGAAUCUGAUGUGUGCAGGAGAACGGAACCCCAAUCAGAUGGAGGCGGCUAUGCAAAAGGAACAACUUUGGCAGGGGAUCGUAGGAGCAAUCUUGAUCCAGCAGGCACACAGUUCGAUCCAGGCGGCUCUGCCAGAAAUCCUAACACUACGACACCGCAACUAGUGCACAAUACUGCAACAUCAGAAGCAUUGGCUUGUUUGGUGUGGAACUGUAGGGGGAUUGGGGGAUCCAGGACAGUCCGUGAUCUUGUAUCACUCAAUCAAGUGCAUCAUCCUCAGUUCAUAUUCCUGUGUGAAACGAGACAAAGAAAAGAGAGAGUCGGACGUUUAUGUAGCCGGCUAGGCCUGAGAGGCUAUGCCGGAGUUAGCAGUGAAGGCUUCAGCGGAGGGCUAGCACUCUUCUGGGAUGACAAGUUGCAUGUCGAAAUACAAGAUCUCAAUGAACGUUAUAUUGAUGUGCAUGUUGGCUUUGCUCCGGGUACUAUUUCAUGGAGAUUGACGUGUGUAUAUGGUGAGCCAAAGGUGGAAAAUAGACACCUCAUG
This 573-nucleotide ribosomal RNA is filed under the name Triticum aestivum (bread wheat). RNAcentral's name for it is "partial small subunit ribosomal RNA". The record is from RNAcentral. Lineage: Eukaryota; Viridiplantae; Streptophyta; Magnoliopsida; Poales; Poaceae.